CAGCCGCCGCGGGAACACGGAGGGGGCUAGCGUUGUUCGGAUUUACUGGGCGUAAAGCGCACGUAGGCGGAUCGAUCAGUCAGGGGUGAAAUCCCAGAGCUCAACUCUGGAACUGCCUUUGAUACUGUCGAUCUGGAGUAUGGAAGAGGUGAGUGGAAUUCCGAGUGUGGAGGUGAAAUUCGUAGAUAUUCGGAGGAACAUCAGUGGCGAAGGCGGCUCACUGGUCCAUUACUGACGCUGAGGUGCGAAAGCGUGGGGAGCAAACAGGAUUAGAUACCCGCGUAGUCCCUGUCUCUUAUAC
This 301-nucleotide ribosomal RNA is filed under the name uncultured bacterium. Its description in RNAcentral is "partial 16S ribosomal RNA". It matches the Rfam family "Bacterial small subunit ribosomal RNA", at positions 509 to 807 of the family's 1533-position model. The record is from RNAcentral.